Long non-coding RNA from Aethina tumida (small hive beetle), 498 nucleotides. RefSeq lists it as uncharacterized. NCBI's taxonomy places the organism in Eukaryota, Metazoa, Arthropoda, Insecta, Coleoptera, Nitidulidae. The record is from RefSeq and is a predicted model, not a curated record. The transcript is spliced from 5 exons.
UCGCUGCAGCAGCCACUGAUACAACUGCUUAUACUUUAUCAUAUACAUGUUUACUGUUGGCGAUGAAUCCUAAAAUACAAGAAAAUGUUUAUGAAGAAGUUAUGGAGGUUGUUGGAGAAUAUAGAACAAUAGAUUGUAGUAAUCUAGUUAAUUUAAAAUACACUGAAAUUGUGAUAAAUGAAGCUUUAAGAUUAAUUCAUGUUAUUCCAUUAAUGGGGCGACGCACAACUGCCGAAAUAAAUUUAGGUGAAAUAGUCAUCCCAGAAAAUACAGGAAUAAUUAUUGACAUAUUGAGUUUGCACAGAAACCUGGAAAUUUAGUCCGGAUCCCCUGAAAUACGAUCCGGACAGAUUUCUUCCCAAAUAGAUCGCAAAAAGGCCUCAAUACAGUUUCGUGCCUUUUUCUGCUGGUCCAAGAAACAGUAUCGGUAAAAAAUAUGCAAUGAUGUUUAUGAAAAUGGCUGUAGCACAUAUUGUGAAAAAUUAUAGAAUUUCAACU